CCCCUAGUAACUGCGAGUGAAGCGGGAAAAGCUCAAAUUUAAAAUCUGGCGGUUUUUGCCGUCCGAGUUGUAAUCUGGAGAAGCGUUUUCCGUGUCGGACCGUGCACAAGUCUCUUGGAAUAGAGCGUCAUAGAGGGUGAGAAUCCCGUAUAUGGCACGGACAGCCGAUACUUUUGUGAUACGCUCUCGAAGAGUCGAGUUGUUUGGGAAUGCAGCUCAAAAUGGGUGGUAAAUUCCAUCUAAAGCUAAAUAUUGGCGAGAGACCGAUAGCGAACAAGUACCGUGAGGGAAAGAUGAAAAGCACUUUGGAAAGAGAGUUAAACAGUACGUGAAAUUGUUGAAAGGGAAACGCUUGAAGUCAGUCGCGUCUGCCGGGAUUCAGCCUUACCUUGGUUUGGUGUACUUCCCGGUUGGGACGGGUCAACAUCGAUUUUGACCGACGGAUAAAGGAGAAGGGAAUGUGGCACCUCCGGGUGUGUUUAUAGCCCUUCUUUGUAUACGCCGGUUGGGAUCGAGGACUGCAGCACGCCCUUGUGGCCGGGGCUUUUUGCCUACGUAUCGUGCUUAGGAUGUUGACAUAAUGGCUUUAAGCGACCCGUCUUGAAACACGGACCAAGGAGUCUAACAUGCUCGCGAGUGUUAGGGUGGAAAACCCUUGCGCGUAAUGAAAGUGAAAGUUGGGACCUCCGCGAGGAGGGCACCGACGCCCGGCCCUGAAGUUCUCUGACGGUGCUGCGGUAGAGCGCGUAUGUUGGGACCCGAAAGAUGGUGAACUAUGCCUGAAUAGGGUGAAGCCAGAGGAAACUCUGGUGGAGGCUCGUAGCGAUUCUGACGUGCAAAUCGAUCGUCAAAUUUGGG
RNAcentral lists this ribosomal RNA (858 nucleotides) under Perennihirschioporus fumosoavellaneus. Its description in RNAcentral is "Trichaptum fumosoavellaneum partial large subunit ribosomal RNA". It matches the Rfam family "Eukaryotic large subunit ribosomal RNA", at positions 77 to 915 of the family's 3401-position model. The record is from RNAcentral. Lineage: Eukaryota; Fungi; Basidiomycota; Agaricomycetes; Hymenochaetales; Hirschioporaceae.